CCUACGGGGGGCAGCAGUGGGGGAUAUUGCACAAUGGGGGAAACCCUGAUGCAGCGACGCCGCGUGUGGGAAGACGGUCUUCUGGAUUGUAAACCACUGUCCCCAGGGACGAAAAUGACGGUACCUGGGGAGGAAGCUCCGGCUAACUACGUGCCAGCAGCCGCGGUAAUACGUAGGGAGCAAGCGUUGUCCGGAAUUACUGGGUGUAAAGGGAGCGUAGGCGGGGAUGCAAGUUGGGUGUAAAAACUACCGGCUCAACCGAUAGUCGCACUCAAAACUGCAGGUCUUGAGUGAAGUAGAGGCAGGCGGAAUGACUAGUGUAGCGGUGAAAUGCGUAGAUAUUAGGCGGAACACCAGUGGCGAAGGCGGCCUGCUGGGCUUUUACUGACGCUGAGGCUCGAAAGUGUGGGGAGCAAACAGGAUUAGAUACCCCGGUAGUC
Molecule: ribosomal RNA, 440 nt
Filed under: uncultured bacterium
Lineage: Bacteria
Description: partial 16S ribosomal RNA
Rfam family: Bacterial small subunit ribosomal RNA
Source: RNAcentral